RNAcentral lists this ribosomal RNA (440 nucleotides) under uncultured bacterium. Its description in RNAcentral is "partial 16S ribosomal RNA". It matches the Rfam family "Bacterial small subunit ribosomal RNA", at positions 338 to 795 of the family's 1533-position model. The record is from RNAcentral.
CCUACGGGGGGCAGCAGUGGGGGAUAUUGCACAAUGGGGGGAACCCUGAUGCAGCGCCGCCGCGUGGGUGAAGAAGCGCCUCGGCGCGUAAAGCCCUGUCAGCAGGGAAGAAAAUGACGGUACCUGACGAAGAAGCCCCGGCUAACUACGUGCCAGCAGCCGCGGUAAUACGUAGGGGGCAAGCGUUAUCCGGAUUUACUGGGGGUAAAGGGGGCGCAGACGGCGAUGCAAGCCAGGAGUGAAAGCCCGGGGCCCAACCCCGGGACUGCUCUUGGAACUGCGUGGCUGGAGUGCAGGAGGGGCAGGCGGAAUUCCUGGUGUAGCGGUGAAAUGCGUAGAUAUCAGGAGGAACACCGGUGGCGAAGGCGGCCUGCUGGACUGCAACUGACGUUGAGGCCCGAAAGCGUGGGGAGCAAACAGGAUUAGAUACCCCAGUAGUC